GACGAACGCUGGCGGCGUGCUUAACACAUGCAAGUCGAACGGAAAGGCCCUGCUUUUGUGGGGUGCUCGAGUGGCGAACGGGUGAGUAACACGUGAGUAACCUGCCCUUGACUUUGGGAUAACUUCAGGAAACUGGGGCUAAUACCGGAUAGGAGCUCCUGCUGCAUGGUGGGGGUUGGAAAGUUUCGGCGGUUGGGGAUGGACUCGCGGCUUAUCAGCUUGUUGGUGGGGUAGUGGCUUACCAAGGCUUUGACGGGUAGCCCGCCUGAGAGGGUGAACGGACACAUUGGGACUGAGAUACGGAACAGACUCCUACGGGAGGCAGAAGUGGGGAAUAUUGCACAAUGGGCGGAAGCCUGAUGUAGGAGCGCCGCGUGCGGGAUGACGGACUUCGGGUUGUAAAACGCUUUCGCCUGUGACGAAGCGUGAGUGACGGUAAUGGGUAAAGAAGCACCGGCUAACUACGUG
This 468-nucleotide ribosomal RNA is filed under the name uncultured bacterium. Its description in RNAcentral is "partial 16S ribosomal RNA". It matches the Rfam family "Bacterial small subunit ribosomal RNA", at positions 28 to 507 of the family's 1533-position model. The record is from RNAcentral.